UGUCUAGUCAGCAUGGUCCUUACGGCCUGGGCGACACACGUGCUACAAUGGCCGGUACAACGCGUCGCCACCUCGCGAGAGGGAGCUAAUCGCUAAAGCCGGUCCCAGUUCAGAUCGCAGUCUGCAACUCGACUGCGUGAAGUCGGAAUCGCUAGUAAUCGCGGAUCAGCCAUGCCGCGGUGAAUACGUUCCCGGGUCUU
This 200-nucleotide ribosomal RNA is filed under the name uncultured organism. RNAcentral describes it as "partial small subunit ribosomal RNA". It matches the Rfam family "Bacterial small subunit ribosomal RNA", at positions 1183 to 1382 of the family's 1533-position model. The record is from RNAcentral.